UGAAGUCUUAUUUGGUUUCCCUUAUCGUGAUGAGAAAGCUAUUUAAAUAGUUUUGGAUAGCUUUGUUUUUUGCUCUGUCUCUUAUGUUUUUUUUUUGUUUGGUUGAAAUUAAGAGUUAGAUUGUGGAAUUGGUAUGAUGUGGUCUGUGUUAGGCUUAAAGAGUGGAAAGCUAGAAUUUUUUGGGUUGGAUCUGGUUGCUGCAAUUAGGUUAUGUUGCUUGUUGAUUGGAACUUGGUCUCUGUUAAUGUUCAAAAUUAGGUUUUCUGGUUUUUGUUACUUGAGAUUAUGUCCAAAAUCCCGAUCUGCUCAUGUAUAUGUUUUAUAGAUGGUGCUGCCCUUCUACUCUGACUUCUUAUCAAAGCUAGAUAGAAGUCCUUUACGAUUUUCUGGAUUUCUGUAUAGUGUUGCUUAGAGCUGAUUUGUGUAAGUUGCUCUGAUAACCAAGGAAGAAAGGUUAUAGGGAAAUCCACUCUCACUGAUUCCUUGGUCGCUGCUGCUGGUAUCAUUGCCCAAUAGGGAAAUAGCUCCGAUACUGCUCCUUGUGGUAGGGAAGAGAUCGAUGAUAUUGCUCUCUUCGCUCUUUAAGAACACAACAAACGAGAGAAUGAUGUUGUUGAGCUUGCUAGAGUGUUAAAGGCAACAGAGCAGGUGAUUGCUGGUAAGCUCUAACAUCUUUUACGAUUAGGUCGCACAUUUUAUUGGAUUAGCAUUGGGUAUUGCGUACUAUGCCCAAUGCUUUGACUGCUAUUUUGCCUAAGCUGAGGGACAGACCCAUGUAUCAAGGCCAGGACAAGCUUCCCCUUAUUGUUUGGAUGAUGGCUCAGGUCCUUGUUCAGCGGAGACAAGUUCUGCAACGGUCCUUGUUCAGCGGAGACAAGUUCUGCAAUGGGAUCAUCUGCCGUGAUACCUGCUACACAUUUCCUUUGCCUUUACUGGGAUGGGAUCACUCUAACGUGUUCAUCGCCCUCGGUUACGAGAUUGCCACGGGCUGUCGUAUGCUUUGUAGUUUUUGGUGCUCUUGCUCAUUGUCCACUCUGUUUGACAAGCAUCGAUAUCGCAAGCAAUGUUUAGGCUCUGUCUUGUAUUAAAAAAAAAAACACUUAUAUGCCAUUCUUUAGUAGAUAAAGAUUCUGUGUGAUCCUUUCUCUAAAACUGAGGUUUCUGACCUACACGAAAAACCAACAUACCAUUAUCAAGGAUUCUACAUUUCUACGUGUAA
Camelina sativa (false flax) is the source of this 1219-nucleotide non-coding RNA. Lineage: Eukaryota; Viridiplantae; Streptophyta; Magnoliopsida; Brassicales; Brassicaceae. The record is from RefSeq and is a predicted model, not a curated record.